GUGAAUGAAAUCCUUGUUCUUCAACUGCUGAUAGACUUCCUUCUCCCUUCGGGUCUUCAGUCCAAGGUCUCCUAUCUUGAGAAGGACCUUAACUUGCUGACCUGAUGAAGAUGACGGAGCUUGUGUGGGUGUCGGGUCGACGCUCAUCUCUGAUGGCUGUGAGGAGUGUCGGGAUGAACUCCUUGUUCCAAUGUUCUUGAGAGCCUUCCCUGCAUUCUUCACCUUCUUAAACAUCCUGCAAACAACAGUUGGCAAAAACACAACUAGUGGAAAAGUGUGAGAUAAAAUGUUAGUGGUCAGCUGUCCGGGGUGUCAGUAGUCCAGGGGUUAAUCGUUCAAGACAAGUUUAUAUUUUGGUAGAGCCUCCCCCUAAACAACUUUUACUUCCGCUUAGACAACGGGAUCACUUCUUGCUAGGUGACAAUCACUCUCUCAAAAGAACUCCGACCUUCCAC
RNAcentral lists this long non-coding RNA (455 nucleotides) under Sorghum bicolor (sorghum). RNAcentral describes it as "long non-coding RNA (SBIC_LNC002849)". Lineage: Eukaryota; Viridiplantae; Streptophyta; Magnoliopsida; Poales; Poaceae. The record is from RNAcentral.